Molecule: ribosomal RNA, 405 nt
Filed under: Sphincterochila candidissima
Lineage: Eukaryota; Metazoa; Mollusca; Gastropoda; Stylommatophora; Hygromiidae
Description: partial 16S ribosomal RNA
Rfam family: Bacterial large subunit ribosomal RNA
Source: RNAcentral
UUCUGCUCAUGAAUUUAAUAGCCGCAGUACCUUGACUGUGCUAAGGUAGCAUAAUCAAUUGGCUCAUAAUUGGAGUCUAGCAUGAAUGAAAGAAUGGGUAAACACUGUCUCUGUCUUACAGAUUGAAAUUACUAAGCAGGUGAAAAUACCUGUACUCAAAUAAUAGACGAGAAGACCCUAGAAGCUUUCACAAUAAUAAUGUGUUCUGCUGGGGCGGCAUAGUGACAAUUGAACUCACUGUAAUUACACGAAAAUAGUUUGUAUGAUAAAGCUACUCUAGGGAUAACAGCAUAAUUUACAAAAGUUUGUGACCUCGAUGUUGGACUAGGGAUUGUGCUUUUUAGAAGACAGCAUUAAUAGCUCUGUUCGCGCUUUUCACCCUACGUGAUCUGAGUUCAGACCGGA